Long non-coding RNA from Rattus norvegicus (Norway rat), 3283 nucleotides. RefSeq lists it as uncharacterized. The record is from RefSeq and is a predicted model, not a curated record. NCBI's taxonomy places the organism in Eukaryota, Metazoa, Chordata, Mammalia, Rodentia, Muridae.
CACUGCUCCUGACGCCUGCCGAGCCUGAUAACGAGGCGGAAACAAGCACUCUAAUCUAUGCUUAAGUGUUCCAGCAGGGGGCUUACAAGCACAAUGCGCAGCUGCAGGUUUCCUCUCCUAAUCUGAGGAUCUGGCCUCCCCUCGCACCCCUUGAAUCGGGGACGUUUUUCAAACUUGGCCCCAAGCUCACGUAUUCCUUUCUAUACCUUUCUAUACCUGAACUAUAGCCGGCAGUGGGCUAAACAGAAGCAAGCCCUUUCCUAAACCCACAGAAAAAAGCACUUUGCUCUGGGAGCAGCCCCACCCCUACGCUCGAAGGAUUAGAGGCUGGAACAGAAGGCAUCCCCUCCCUAGAUUAGCAUUAGGACCUAACCUCCUGAGAAUCUAGAAACCUCUAGUUACGGAUGGACCAGUUAGGACGUGGUGACGUCCACGCAAUCCCCACACCCCACCCCUUCUGCUCUCUGUUAGAAGCGCGAACAGCAAGCGGGUUUGGGUCAAGAGGUAACCCGGGCCUGGUUUGGAACAUGUGGUUCUCCUCUUCUUCAGCACCCGGCAUGCUGGGAUUACAAACAUGAGCCCUGUGUGGCUUUGUAUCUGCGUUGUUUGUUUGCUGGUUUGUUUUUAUGAGAGUUUUCUCCCCGCACUUCUUUCUUGCUAUUUUCAGUUGUUAGUUCCCUGAAAGCACAAUUCUCUCUUCUCUUUUUGUUCUGCCAACUCUGAUCCUAGACCCUCUGGGUGGCUACAGGGAACCAGGCAAAGGUGGUUUUGGUUGCCAGUGUUACCAAAACAAAACUCCACCCGGCUGCUCUGUGGCUACCUGACCUAUACCCUGUGUGACUCCACAUGGCCUUGACUUUCCCUGCUUGCCUAGCUGUUUCCCUCAGGUGAGGGAAGGGAUCUGCUUAAAUUGAUUCUAGUAAAUCCUAAACCUCUUUCAACUUUAAUUACCACCUUGAAGACCUUGUCUUCAGAUACAGCAAUAGUGGAAACUGAGGCUUCACAGUAGUAGAGAAAGCAUUAUCGGGAGAAAUCAUUUUGUCCCAACUAGGCCACCAUAGGCUGCCUGCUGUCUCUGAGGAGAGCACCUUAGGGAAGACUUAGGUUUCCUGACAGCGCUCCUACUAAGAGCUGGGGACCGAACCCAGGGCCUUGCGCUCGCUAGGCAAGCGCUCUACCGCUGAGCUAAAUCCCCAACCCCGCUGAGGAUACUUCUGAACCUUCAGUUCCUUCGCCAUCUGAGCCCAGGAUCUCUGGGCUCUGCUUCACUGGAGAACUGAGAAGCCAGGGAGCUUUCCGGUUGCUGCACGGGACACUGAAACAGGCAUGGGCAGCUGAUGAGAAGGUGGCAUUUUGGCCACUCCACCCCUCUUCACCUGCCUACCACCUACAGGCCCUGAGCCCUUGUGGCCCUUCUGAGUUAGGAAACAUGAUUAUGUGUACAGCAUUUCAGCCGCAUGGACCCAGUGUUCCCCCCUUCUCCUUAGGAGGAGCCCUACACCAAUGCCCCUCACCCCACCUAGGCACAGCACUUCGGAGGGUGUAUUUCAGCACCACCCAUUCCUGGGAUGGAUGAAGUGGACCAGAGACACAUAGCUCUCAGAGCCCAGCACUGGGCUAAGCUGGGGUGCAUCAAAGGCAUUCACCACCAUGCCCAGUCCAGCUAAGGAAGUUUAAAGGUUUUUUUCUUUUUUCGUUUGUUUUUCGAGAUAGGGUUUCUCUGUGUAGCUCUGGAUGUUCUGGGAUUCUUUAUUUCUGCAGAUAAACGUGGUUUCAGAGUCAUCGAAUGAAAGAAAAGUCAAAUUUGGUGCACCUUUCUGGGGGCUUCAACAUUCACUCUUGGCUUUCUCCCUGGACCAUAACUCACAGCUACUACGUUCUUAGGUGCUCUUGCUCUUGCCCUUGCUCCAGACUUUCAUACUGCCCUCUGACUCCUCCUGGGGGGCUCUGUCAAGUGUGUCGAGUCUCCUGACCUCUGUGUGUACUUCCUGCCAGGAUAAACUCUGGCAAACUACUUCGUAGACCAUGGCACCCAGGUACAUGCACUGGGAACACUGGAACAGCCUUGUCUGUGGGUCCCAGAAUUUAUGUGCUAUGCCUGUGACAAUGUAUGGCCUUUUGACCAAGCACUUCCUUCUGUGGCCUCCCACUGGCAGUUCACAAAUCAUGCCUGGUCAGUGUUCAUUUUUUACAUUCCUGGCAUGUUAGCCUCAUCACAUAUCUGGUGGUGUGAGCUCUCCCAGUCCACAGAUGGGACUUUAUAGCUAGUUUUGUUUGUUUUGUUGGGUUUUGUUCUUUAAUGAUUUUUUUUUCUUUGCAUUAUUCUUGUGUCUGUGUGAGGGUAUCCAGAUCCCCUGGAACUGGAGUUACAGACAGUUGUGAGCUGCCAUAUGGUUGCUGGGAAUUGAACUCAGGUCCUCUGGAAGAGCACCCAGUGUGCUUAACCAUCGAGCUGUCUCUCCUAUCCCCAUUGAAGAGUUUCUUUGCUGUACCCAUGGCUGUCCUGGAACUAGAUUUGUAGAUCAGGCUGACUUCAAACUCAGUACUAAGAUCUGCCCAGAUCAACUAAAGAAGUCACUCUCCCCAACCCUGACCCCGACAGGGUUUCUUUGAGUAGCCUGUCCUGGAACUCGCUGUGUAGACCAGGCUGGCCUUGAACUCAGAGAUUUACCUUCCUCUGCCUGCCUAGUGCUGAGAUUAAAGUCUUGCACCACCACUAUUCCAGUAGCUGAAGUUUUAAAGCUAUUCUUUCACUGAACCAACCCUGGGAAAUAAUUAUAGGUGAGUACACAGAUUCCAAAAAACAAGCUGGCUGUGGGCUUAUUGUGUGUGAAUAUCUUUAUUGUUGUCAUUUUGUUUUUUUAAGAAAUUAUUUCUCUAUGUAAUUCUGGCUGUCCUGGAACUUACUAUGUAGAUGAGUCUGGCCUAGAACUCACAGAGAUUCUCCUGCUUCUGUCUCCUGAGUGCAGGCAUUAAAAGAAUGUGCCACCACAUCAGACCUAUGUGUAAAGCUUUUUACCACAAUCUGCAAGGAUAAUUUAUUCAAUUUUAAAAAAGGUGUUGACAAACUGGUUUUCAUACUGAGAAAUAAAAACAAAGAUUAUCAGCCUUGCAGGUAAGAAAGAGCCGUGGAAGGAAAGGGGGUGUUGUGUUUAUCAGUUUGGAGUCUCUGGGAGCUCUCUAAGAUCCUAGCCGAUGGCCACCAUGGUGUCAACAGCCAGGAACACACUUAGCAACUUUUCCAGAGUAGAGAAUAAACAGAGGACCUGAGGCUGCCUUGACU